This 87-nucleotide transfer RNA is filed under the name Anaerolineae bacterium. RNAcentral's name for it is "tRNA-Ser". It matches the Rfam family "tRNA". Rfam says of the family: Transfer RNA (tRNA) molecules are approximately 80 nucleotides in length. Their secondary structure includes four short double-helical elements and three loops (D, anti-codon, and T loops). The record is from RNAcentral. Lineage: Bacteria; Bacillati; Chloroflexota; Anaerolineae.
GGGGAGAUGCCAGAGUGGUCGAAUGGGGCGGUCUCGAAAACCGCUGUGGGCUUCUGUCCACCGUGGGUUCGAAUCCCACUCUCCCCG